This 315-nucleotide long non-coding RNA is filed under the name Fukomys damarensis (Damara mole-rat). RNAcentral describes it as "lncRNA (ENSFDAG00000033024.1)". The record is from RNAcentral. Lineage: Eukaryota; Metazoa; Chordata; Mammalia; Rodentia; Bathyergidae.
GGCAGCUGAUAAGAGGUGGCAGAGUUGCCUCAGGGUUUCUACCUGCUGGGGAAGCUUCUACGACGUCUUCACAUGUGGGGGAAAAAAAGCUGAGUGAAGCCUUCUGUGCCCACACCCUGAGGAAUUUGGACUGGAGCAACACUCAGAAGAAAUGGUGGAUCAAUCUUAGAGGCCCCAGGGUAGUCAACAGAGCCAUGCCAUGUUCCUGGAGGGCCUGGCCACAGUGACUUCUUCGCUCAGUCCCUGAUGACGUGAGACCAUGGUCAGUACUAAAAGCAUGUCCAUUGAGUAAACACAGCUAGUCUUCCAGCCAGA